This 253-nucleotide ribosomal RNA is filed under the name uncultured bacterium. Its description in RNAcentral is "partial 16S ribosomal RNA". It matches the Rfam family "Bacterial small subunit ribosomal RNA", at positions 524 to 776 of the family's 1533-position model. The record is from RNAcentral.
UACGAAGGGUGCAAGCGUUAAUCGGAAUUACUGGGCGUAAAGGGUGCGUAGAUGGCCUGUUAAGUCGGAUGUGAAAGCCCCGGGCUCAACCUGGGAACGGCAUCCGAUACUGAUGGGCUGGAGUGCGGUAGAGGAGAGCGGAAUUCCCGGUGUAGCGGUGAAAUGCGUAGAGAUCGGGAGGAACAUUCGUGGCGAAGGCGGCUCUCUGGACCAGCACUGACAUUGAGGCACGAAAGCGUGGGGAGCAAACAGG